This is a long non-coding RNA of Rhodamnia argentea, 1788 nucleotides long. RefSeq lists it as uncharacterized. The transcript is spliced from 2 exons. Lineage: Eukaryota; Viridiplantae; Streptophyta; Magnoliopsida; Myrtales; Myrtaceae. The record is from RefSeq and is a predicted model, not a curated record.
UACCGAGAAAACUCAUUGUGGAUCGACGCUCGGCUCAUCAUUGCCUGGAGACUCGUGAGUUUCCGAGAGUGGUGAUCACUUUCUUGAAGUGGGUCGUGUCGUCUGGCAACUGAGGAUAGGUCGUUUUACGUAGUGGAUGGUACGAAAACAGUGUUGUUUAUGGUACCCAGUUGUGGUGGGGAGGUUGAUAAGUAAAGAGUGUGCCGAAAAGGAGGUGAACCGGAUUGAAUUUUGGUUUCCCCAGACAGCAACCGGAUCUCGAGUCUUGCUAAGAAUUUAAAGAUGGAGGGUUGCAGGCUUGCAGCAACUCAGGUGAAAAUGAAAGCAGCAUCGAUGACAGUUGGUGAGAUCGUAUCUGAGUCCCAUUAUUGUCCCCCACUAGCACAGUGAACAAUGGUCAAAAACAAAAAUCUCUUCUUUCCAGAACAAACCCACAAGAGAUUUGAACACCCUCAAUUCCCGCACCCAAAUCAUCACAGCAACACCUUAGUUAGACAGUAAAAUUAUGGAUGAGCUUAAAGCUGCAUGUUUUGAAACUUCUUUUCCAGAAAGUUGCACAAGAACUGAGACAUUGAUCAAAAGGGAAAGGGCCACUGGGGAUAUAUACUAAUGAUGCAGAACAUCGAAUGCAAAAGCGGGGUUGGUUGUCCGCACAGCUUCCUUUAUGGCUCGAGCUUUUUUUCUUCUUUUUUUUUCAUCUUCCUUGUUCUUUUUUAUUUGUUUUGAACACUUUGAAAUGGCGAAAGGUAAAAAGGGUUUCAGCGAGAUCAAAGGGGGGAUCGACAUUACACAUGCCAAUGGGGGGGAAAAGUGUGAGCGUGAAGGAACAGGUUUCGAUUUCUAGGAAUUUCAAAACCUGCAUUAAGGGGUGGGGUUUGCACAUGAUAUCAAUCCCAAUGUCCACUAGUUUAUUCAGGUAAUGACUUUGAAAAAACUUGAAAAUGUUGCACCAAUCAAGGGACAGGAACUUGAGAAAAGGGGGGCAAUUCAGGUCCCACCAAGAUCGCUUUUGAGAGGUGCCCAAAAUUUAUUAGGAACCAGAAAAGAUGAAAAAGGAAGAUGUGAUCACUAAUCAGCCAUUGAAGGCAAAUGAUAAGGCAGAACGCUACUUGGAAAAAGAUCCUAAUUUGACCAAUAGUCAUCAAACAAACACCAGAUGGGCUGAUCCACCUUCUUGCUCAUGUUCUUCUCUAUCAGAACAGGUUUGUCUGAAGCAGACGAAGUAUGAGAAUGGUCUAAACAUGACCAUUCGUUCCCUAGAUCUUUCAAAGGAGGAGGUGAAUUCACCCAAGUAGCUAGCAAUUUAUUCAGCAUUGGAUAAAGAGCGGGAACAGAUCGAAGCAAGCAUAACGAAGAGAGCGUGGAUGAUCGAUCAUCAGUCUGAUUGCACAUAUACAUAUACAGAGCGAGAAAAACGAACCCAAUUUGGAAUGGAAAGGAAUGAUCAUUCUGGAAUUCAUCAUCGAUACAAGUAAAAAUGUUCAUCAUGAUUAUACUGUAAAAAUCAAGAAAAGUAAGGAAAAGAAAAAUGAACAAAAGUAUGAUUAUAAAAUGAGAUGAACAGCAAUAACCCCCCCACAAACAACAAGCUGCACUAGCAGCAGCCCCCUGGAUUUUUGAGUAAAAGCCCCCGAUUGAAUCGACCUCCAAAUUCAUCAUCAUCCCUAUACAUACACUUUUCUCUGCAACCUACUCGUUUUUCUUCCUCCGGAAUUUUUAUUUGACAUCUCGAGAUUAUGCAUAACAAUUGCAAUAAAUAUGGAGAGAAGAGACCAUCUCCUCUUACCU